GUGCUCACUCUGCAGCACAUAGACCAAACCUGGAACAGAUAGAGAUUAGCAUGAGCCCUGUACAAGGAUGACAUGCAAAUUUGUGAAGUGUUCCAUAAUUUU
This is a small nuclear RNA of Ochotona curzoniae (black-lipped pika), 102 nucleotides long. The record is from RefSeq and is a predicted model, not a curated record. NCBI's taxonomy places the organism in Eukaryota, Metazoa, Chordata, Mammalia, Lagomorpha, Ochotonidae.